Molecule: long non-coding RNA, 613 nt
Organism: Suricata suricatta (meerkat)
Lineage: Eukaryota; Metazoa; Chordata; Mammalia; Carnivora; Herpestidae
Exons: 4
Source: RefSeq, a predicted model, not a curated record
CAAGAGUCCGAGGCUUAACUGACUGAGCCACCCAGGUGAAACUGGAGUGAGGCAAGACAAGAAGAGAGAUGGCACAAAGUCCAGGCAAGAAAUUGUGGUGGCCUGGAUCAAAGAUCAUGGCAAAAUAGCUGGUUCCUUGUGGGGUCAGUUAGCUGCGCACUUCACGGAGUUACCAAUUGUGAGAGAAGCAGGUCUGCGAAGCCGAGUGGGGAUAGAAGAGCACAAAGAGUCAUACACUAUCUCUAACAACUAAUUUCACUUAAUGUGAAAAUGAAUGGAUAAUCGCUAAUCACCGGCAAUAAAUGCUAAGCUACAAAAUGGUACUUUAUUUAAAAAAGGAGAGAAAAGAAAUAAAAUCACUGCAGAUGUCAUCACAAUCCUCAUUCCUUUCUUACCUUUGCUUCUGAGUGAGCUUUGAUGGAAUAUGGAGCCACAACAUGAUUAGUCUGCCACUACUUCCUGCUUAGCAACUAGAAGACUUGGAUUGGCCUAGUCUUCAGGCCAAGGACAUCACCACCCAACCAAACCACUGGCUACAUCAUAUGAGUUGGUAUACAAUUGAACCUCUCGCUAUUUCUUGUUCCAAGCAAAAUAAAUAACCAAAUGCACUGCU